RNAcentral lists this ribosomal RNA (505 nucleotides) under uncultured bacterium. RNAcentral describes it as "partial 16S ribosomal RNA". It matches the Rfam family "Bacterial small subunit ribosomal RNA", at positions 28 to 507 of the family's 1533-position model. The record is from RNAcentral.
GACGAACGCUGGCGGCGUGCCUAAUACAUGCAAGUAGAACGCACAGUUUAUACCGUAGCUUGCUACACCAUAGACUGUGAGUUGCGAACGGGUGAGUAACGCGUAGGUAACCUGCCUGGUAGCGGGGGAUAACUAUUGGAAACGAUAGCUAAUACCGCAUAAUAUUGAUUAUUGCAUGAUAAUUGAUUGAAAGAUGCUAUUGCAUCACUACCAGAUGGACCUGCGUUGUAUUAGCUAGUAGGUGAGGUAACGGCUCACCUAGGCGACGAUACAUAGCCGACCUGAGAGGGUGAUCGGCCACCCUGGGACUGAGACACGGCCCAGACUCCUACGGGAGGCAGCAGUAGGGAAUCUUCGGCAAUGGACGAAAGUCUGACCGAGCAACGCCGCGUGAGUGAAGAAGGGUUUCGGAUCGUAAAGCUCUGUUGUAAGAGAAGAACGGGUGUGAGAGUGGAAAGUUCACACUGUGACGGUAUCUUACCAGAAAGGGACGGCUAACUACGUG